Molecule: ribosomal RNA, 1453 nt
Filed under: Staphylococcus aureus
Lineage: Bacteria; Bacillati; Bacillota; Bacilli; Caryophanales; Staphylococcaceae
Description: bacterial SSU rRNA
Rfam family: Bacterial small subunit ribosomal RNA
Source: RNAcentral
GGCUCAGGAUGAACGCUGGCGGCGUGCCUAAUACAUGCAAGUCGAGCGAACGGACGAGAAGCUUGCUUCUCUGAUGUUAGCGGCGGACGGGUGAGUAACACGUGGAUAACCUACCUAUAAGACUGGGAUAACUUCGGGAAACCGGAGCUAAUACCGGAUAAUAUUUUGAACCGCAUGGUUCAAAAGUGAAAGACGGUCUUGCUGUCACUUAUAGAUGGAUCCGCGCUGCAUUAGCUAGUUGGUAAGGUAACGGCUUACCAAGGCAACGAUGCAUAGCCGACCUGAGAGGGUGAUCGGCCACACUGGAACUGAGACACGGUCCAGACUCCUACGGGAGGCAGCAGUAGGGAAUCUUCCGCAAUGGGCGAAAGCCUGACGGAGCAACGCCGCGUGAGUGAUGAAGGUCUUCGGAUCGUAAAACUCUGUUAUUAGGGAAGAACAUAUGUGUAAGUAACUGUGCACAUCUUGACGGUACCUAAUCAGAAAGCCACGGCUAACUACGUGCCAGCAGCCGCGGUAAUACGUAGGUGGCAAGCGUUAUCCGGAAUUAUUGGGCGUAAAGCGCGCGUAGGCGGUUUUUUAAGUCUGAUGUGAAAGCCCACGGCUCAACCGUGGAGGGUCAUUGGAAACUGGAAAACUUGAGUGCAGAAGAGGAAAGUGGAAUUCCAUGUGUAGCGGUGAAAUGCGCAGAGAUAUGGAGGAACACCAGUGGCGAAGGCGACUUUCUGGUCUGUAACUGACGCUGAUGUGCGAAAGCGUGGGGAUCAAACAGGAUUAGAUACCCUGGUAGUCCACGCCGUAAACGAUGAGUGCUAAGUGUUAGGGGGUUUCCGCCCCUUAGUGCUGCAGCUAACGCAUUAAGCACUCCGCCUGGGGAGUACGACCGCAAGGUUGAAACUCAAAGGAAUUGACGGGGACCCGCACAAGCGGUGGAGCAUGUGGUUUAAUUCGAAGCAACGCGAAGAACCUUACCAAAUCUUGACAUCCUUUGACAACUCUAGAGAUAGAGCCUUCCCCUUCGGGGGACAAAGUGACAGGUGGUGCAUGGUUGUCGUCAGCUCGUGUCGUGAGAUGUUGGGUUAAGUCCCGCAACGAGCGCAACCCUUAAGCUUAGUUGCCAUCAUUAAGUUGGGCACUCUAAGUUGACUGCCGGUGACAAACCGGAGGAAGGUGGGGAUGACGUCAAAUCAUCAUGCCCCUUAUGAUUUGGGCUACACACGUGCUACAAUGGACAAUACAAAGGGCAGCGAAACCGCGAGGUCAAGCAAAUCCCAUAAAGUUGUUCUCAGUUCGGAUUGUAGUCUGCAACUCGACUACAUGAAGCUGGAAUCGCUAGUAAUCGUAGAUCAGCAUGCUACGGUGAAUACGUUCCCGGGUCUUGUACACACCGCCCGUCACACCACGAGAGUUUGUAACACCCGAAGCCGGUGGAGUAACCUUUUAGGAGCUAGCC